GGUCUUAUAGUUGAAAUAACAACAUUAAAUUGCAAAUNUAAGAGUGUAACUCUAUAUACUAAGGCUU
This 67-nucleotide transfer RNA is filed under the name Neoamphitrite affinis. RNAcentral describes it as "tRNA-Cys". The record is from RNAcentral. Lineage: Eukaryota; Metazoa; Annelida; Polychaeta; Terebellida; Terebellidae.